UGCAGGUUCAUUAACGAGGCCGGCGGGAACGAGGAUUGGCUUGUCCACUGUGUUAACUGGACUGGAGGAGAAAAGGAAAAGUCAGAAAACAGAGAGCAGCAUUUGGUACAGACAACUUUCCCAGGGUUCUGCUGGCCCUGCCGUGGGGCAUGAGGUGUCUGCCUCUCCUGCCCACUCAAGAGGAGGAAACACUUGAGAAUCCUUGAGUGUGGAAAGUCAGGAAACUGGGAGCCCCUGGGGUGCACCAUCAGAGAAGCCAAUGGCACCCCACUCCAGUCCUCUUGCCUGGAAAAUCCCAUGGAUGGAGGAGCCUGGUAAUUAAGAGCUGAUUGCUGGUAAUUAAGAGUUGUUGAGAGAGCCAGCAGGAUCCAAAAAGGAGACUCACACGUUUUUUGUCUGAAAGACUCCUGCUAUCUUGCCCCCCCCCUCUGCCUGCCCCCACCUGGUGGCUGAGCCCCCUUGGGGGCAUGGACCCCCAGAGAGCAAGUCCCAGCCUGUCAAGCGGAUUCUGCCUUCGGACUUCAUUCCCUGCUGUGGUUUCCAAGCCUUGAGAAAAGACAUGUAGGGGGGUGAAGUUCUAAAGUCCUGACCCUCAGGUGUGCUUUUCCCUAUUUCUCCCAAACUGCAGGCUUAGCUGGGCUCUUGAGCCCCUGUUUCUGCUGGUGGCGGGCAGCUUGAACUUGGCAAGUCCAGGCACAACUCACUUGGGUUGAGCUCGUGGUCACUUUGGGGACGAGUCUCUCUUGCCCUUUCUGCCCUGGUCUGAGUUGCAGGUUUGGGUUGCGGAGGGCUGGGUUGGGGAGGGCGGGAG
Long non-coding RNA from Dama dama (fallow deer), 811 nucleotides. RefSeq lists it as uncharacterized. The record is from RefSeq and is a predicted model, not a curated record. NCBI's taxonomy places the organism in Eukaryota, Metazoa, Chordata, Mammalia, Artiodactyla, Cervidae. The transcript has 3 exons.